Molecule: long non-coding RNA, 477 nt
Organism: Aethalodelphis obliquidens (Pacific white-sided dolphin)
Lineage: Eukaryota; Metazoa; Chordata; Mammalia; Artiodactyla; Delphinidae
Exons: 3
Source: RefSeq, a predicted model, not a curated record
GCUGAAGAGACUCUCUUGUAGGCAGCAUAUUGUAUAUUCUUGUUUUUUUAAUCCAAUCUGCCACUCAUGUUUUGAUCAGAGCACUUAGUCCGUUAACAUUGAAGGUAAUUAUUGCUACACAUGUAUUUAUUGCCAAACCUUGUUGUCCAGUUGAUUUUAUAGUUUUCUUCAUUUGUUCUUUUUGUUUCUCCUUUCGUGGUUUGAUAGUUUUCUUUUGUAUUAUGCUUGAAUUCCUUUCUUUUUGUUCUUUGUGAAUCUACUGUAUGUGUUUGAUUUGUGGUUACCCUGGUUUUCAUGUAUAUUAACCCAUAACUAUAUCUAUUUCUUUAGACUGCUGGUCGUAUAAGUUCAAACACAUUCUAGAAGAUCUACAUUUUCUUUACUCCCUUCCCCCACAUUUUGUGAUUCUGAUGUCCUAUUUUACAUCUUCAUGUUUACCUUCUGCUGUUAAUUGUGGUUACAAUCACUUUUACAAAA